Molecule: ribosomal RNA, 484 nt
Filed under: uncultured bacterium
Lineage: Bacteria
Description: partial 16S ribosomal RNA
Rfam family: Bacterial small subunit ribosomal RNA
Source: RNAcentral
AUUGAACGCUGGCGGCAGGCCUAACACAUGCAAGUCGAGCGGAUGAAGGGAGCUUGCUCCUGGAUUCAGCGGCGGACGGGUGAGUAAUGCCUAGGAAUCUGCCUGGUAGUGGGGGAUAACGUCCGGAAACGGGCGCUAAUACCGCAUACGUCCUGAGGGAGAAAGUGGGGGAUCUUCGGACCUCACGCUAUCAGAUGAGCCUAGGUCGGAUUAGCUAGUUGGUGGGGUAAAGGCCUACCAAGGCGACGAUCCGUAACUGGUCUGAGAGGAUGAUCAGUCACACUGGAACUGAGACACGGUCCAGACUCCUACGGGAGGCAGCAGUGGAGAAUAUUGGACGAUGGGGGAAAGCCUGAUCCAGCCAUGCCGCGUGUGUGAAGAAGGUCUUCGGAUUGUAAAGCACUUUAAGUUGGGAGGAAGGGCAGUAAGUUAAUACCUUGCUGUUUUGACGUUACCAACAGAAUAAGCACCGGCUAACUUCGUG